UAAAGAUUUAUCAAAAACGGAACCGCCGACGUUAUCGAUAUGGUGCCCGCAUUGAAGUACGGUCACUAGUUAUCGAUAGUGCGUCAUCGAUAAGUUCUGUGACAACCCUGAAGCCGAAAACAAGCAGCCACGCUAGAGAAGAAAAUCUGGUUGAAAAUUGACAAAAAUUGUAAUUGAAUAAGCGCAAAAGCCAAAAGAGAACUUCGUAAGUGGUCCUACGAAUUGCGCUGUGCGUCCCCACCACAUUUUGAUUUCUUCAAACGUGCCAGACAACGAGCAGGGGACUUUUUUCACGGAGCACCCCGGAUUGCAGCGAAGUAAUUUUCGAAUAUGGCCGAGGACUUUGAUGUGGAGGCGAUGCUCGAGGCACCGUACAUGAAAAACACACCCACAGGCGUACGUGCAUUUUGUGUUUGUAUGUAAGUCGUCUUCGUCUCGGGCACACACACACACACACACACAUGUGCAGUCGAUGCAUACUAAGUGGUCUUAAAUCGAUUUUUAGCCUAAUUUUGCUGUUUAAUAAAAAAUCGGCAGCCGGAACGCCAAUCUGCGUGCUGAUUUUCGUAAUAAUUUUUUUUUCACACUCGACUGCGUUCAUACAGAAAAGUGUUUCGCCAACGGAAAAUUUGUCUGUGUGUGGGUUUGUGUUGUUUAUUUUCCUAAGCGGCAUUUGAUACAGUCCUGUACUGCAGUAGGUGUACAGUGGGGUGCAAAAUAUUUGGCAGGGCUGCAAUUGCAACUAAAAACGUUUAACAAGUAUCAGGGAAACUUAAAGGAUUGAAUUACCAACAAGGCAAUUACUAACUUAAUCAUUAAAAAACAACGUAUGUUUGUGAUAUUAUACAUAUCUUACAAAACUUGGACUUUAAUCUUUGUUAAUGACUGAAACGGAUUUUGUAGCAAUUGGUAUUCCUCUUAUCUUAUCUGGGCGACCCAUCUAAUAAUAUUUUAAUAGGUUUAAACUUAGUCAAAUGAAAUCAUACUGGUGAAAUCCCAAUAUAUUAUAAAGUGAUUUGUAGGUUAGCAAAACACAUUUUUCCGUAGCAUUUACAAAUUCAAUUUUUGGUGUGUUGUGGAAUAAAUCUAGUAAAAUUAUCAUUAAUUAACCCCAGCAUUAUUGUCCGACAGCUCGCCAAGGUUUUCGAAAUAGUAGUCUAUGAAGUCCAGCUGAAGUUGGAAAUGAAUUGAAUUCUCUUUCGCCCCAAACCAACAACUCAUGAGUUCAACGCUCUUAUUUCUUCCUAUCUGCUGUCUCACUAAGAACAACCGACAACUACCCACACACAAUCACCAUUAAAAAAUAAAAAAAAAAACCAAACAAAAAUGCUAGAAUAAUUCUUAAGGGUGAAAUGUCUUUGCAGAGAAUCGAAUAAGCUCAAUAUUGUUGCUAGAGAUUGUUUUGGUCAUUCUAAACACAAAAAGCUGGAGACCAUUUGGUAAGUUUUGAAUGUGCCAGAAGCUGCGAAAAAAACCAAUUACAAAAUUACAAAACAAUAAAAAAAAAACCAAAACAUAUCUAGGCAUUUUGUAUACAAUAUGAUUUGUUUAUGUUUGCGUUUUUUUUGAACACAAUCCAAUUGAAAUCGUUAACUUACUGCUCUAUGUAAACCAAUGAAACUGAACGUGCACUAAAUUUCAGAUAUACUCCUCCUAACUUGUCUGGGGCAGCAGGCAGCACUACUACUACUCUCACUCACAGUCAGACAAGAAAGAAAGUAUCGCUCAAAUUACAAAUUACAGAUUUACCAUAAACAGAAAUCGAAAUAUAAGCAUAAUUGUUGACCAACACAUAAGCCCAAAACGCAAAGCCAAAGCCAAAAAACCAAACCAAACCUAUUUGAACAAACAAAAAACGUAAUAAGCAAUUCUUAAACUAUAGCACUACAAUCUUACUUAUAUUAUGUCUAUGUCCUAUAUAUAUAUAGACGACGUCUUUUUGAGAACCAAUCAACCAGUCCACUCCACUAGCCAGCGCUAAACAUUCCCCCAAAACUGAUCUGAUUGAGAAUGAGAAUGAGCAUGGGAAAUUUGCCCAUGUGGAGACAACAUUUCUCGCCGUCGUGAACCAUCUGUGUGUGUGCCAUAUACAAAUUAAAUAUAUUACAUAUAUUUACCAAAACUACGUAUAAGAUAUCUCUCUAUAUCUAUAUCCUUAUUACUACCUUUGCUAAAAAUUGGCAAUGAUCCCCAAAUGAUCAUUGUUGACUUAAGCAUUUCUACUUUAUAUACUUGCAGAUGCCAAAAAUUUAACUAAUUUACUUUGAUUUGCUUUCUCUUAUUCAAAAAAAAAAAUAUUUACGAAACUGAAAAAAUAAUAUAUCAUAACAAACUCAAUGAUAUAAUCGAAAAUCAACCAACAUCUCAACAACGACAACAACGUAACGAACGAUCAACACCCGUUAUGUGUUCCCACCCACCAAAAACUGAAACCAAUCGACAACAAAAAAAAUAAUCCACUUAUCUGUAUCUACAUUAUUGCUUGCGCCCAACCAACCCAUCCUCCCUGUCCGAUCCCACACCCAAUCCACCAAACAAACAAAACAACCUAUCUGUGUAGAAUGUCAGUGCGGGCAGCGGUGGACGUGGUGGACGCAAGCGCAGCGGCAGCAGUCCAGGCGGCGGCGGUGGACACGAUGACGACUACGCCGAGAAUGGUCCGCGGAACGGAAGCGGCGGCGGAA
Molecule: RNA transcript, 2684 nt
Organism: Drosophila simulans
Lineage: Eukaryota; Metazoa; Arthropoda; Insecta; Diptera; Drosophilidae
Gene: Caper
Gene name: RNA-binding protein 39
Exons: 2
Source: RefSeq, a predicted model, not a curated record